RNAcentral lists this ribosomal RNA (429 nucleotides) under Gemmatimonadota bacterium. Its description in RNAcentral is "Gemmatimonadetes bacterium partial 16S ribosomal RNA". It matches the Rfam family "Bacterial small subunit ribosomal RNA", at positions 355 to 776 of the family's 1533-position model. Lineage: Bacteria; Pseudomonadati; Gemmatimonadota. The record is from RNAcentral.
UAGGGAAUCUUCGGCAAUGGACGAAAGUCUGACCGAGCAACGCCGCGUGAGUGAAGAAGGUUUUCGGAUCGUAAAACUCUGUUGUUAGAGAAGAACAAGGACGUUAGUAACUGAACGUCCCCUGACGGUAUCUAACCAGAAAGCCACGGCUAACUACGUGCCAGCAGCCGCGGUAAUACGUAGGUGGCAAGCGUUGUCCGGAUUUAUUGGGCGUAAAGCGAGCGCAGGCGGUUUCUUAAGUCUGAUGUGAAAGCCCCCGGCUCAACCGGGGAGGGUCAUUGGAAACUGGUAGACUUGAGUGCAGAAGAGGACAGUGGAAUUCCAUGUGUAGCGGUGCACUGCGUAGCUUUAUGUAGGAACACCAGUGGCGACGGCGGCUCUCUGGUCUGUAACUGACGCUGAGGCUCGAAAGCGUGGGGAGCAAACAGG